This 77-nucleotide transfer RNA is filed under the name Gammaproteobacteria bacterium. Its description in RNAcentral is "tRNA-Pro". It matches the Rfam family "tRNA". From Rfam's summary of the family: Transfer RNA (tRNA) molecules are approximately 80 nucleotides in length. Their secondary structure includes four short double-helical elements and three loops (D, anti-codon, and T loops). Lineage: Bacteria; Pseudomonadati; Pseudomonadota; Gammaproteobacteria. The record is from RNAcentral.
CGGGGUAUGGCGCAGCCUGGUAGCGCACUUGCAUGGGGUGCAAGGGGUCGAAGGUUCGAAUCCUUUCACACCGACCA